Molecule: RNA transcript, 479 nt
Organism: Aethalodelphis obliquidens (Pacific white-sided dolphin)
Lineage: Eukaryota; Metazoa; Chordata; Mammalia; Artiodactyla; Delphinidae
Gene name: cysteine-rich protein 1 pseudogene
Exons: 1
Source: RefSeq, a predicted model, not a curated record
UAUUCAGUGCCUUAUUUCAUAAUGCUCUGACAUAGAGUCCAGCGUUGUGCUCUGCUCCCGCUCAGCCACCCGCCCCGGACACGGCGCCACCAUGCCCAAGUGCCCCAAGUGCAACAAGGAGGUGUACUUUGCUGAGCGGGUGACCUCCCUCGGGAAGGACUGGCAUCACCCUUGCCUGAAAUGUGAGAAACGUGGAAAGACGCUGACCUCAAGGGGUCAUGCCGAGCAUGAAGGCAAGCCCUAUUGCACCCACCCCUGCUACGCAGCCAUGUUCAGCCCCAAAGGUUUCAGGCACGGUGGGGCAGAGAGCCACACUUUCAAGUAAACCCAGGUUUUGGAGACCCCAUCCCUGGCUGCUUGCUGGGCCGCUGCCCCUCUAGGGCGAUGGCAGGCCCUCCCCACAGGCAUCUGGGGCUCCCCUGUAGACCCUCAAGCCCUCAAGAAACCCGGCCACUUGGAAGACCUACAAAAAAAAAAAA